AGGGAUGACACAAGAGUGGAUGCUGUCUGCAGCUACAAGGACAAUGCCAGCCUGGCCAGGUUUGACAGAGAAAAGCUUUACCAGGAGCUGAGCACCAUGACAAACAAUGUCACCAAACUGGGCCACUACAGCCUGGACAGGAGCAGCCUGUAUGUUGAUGAUUUCACCCUCACAGACACAGCUGCCACCAAAAAGCCUCUCAUGGCUCCUGCCAAACUUGGCUAUAGGCUGAGCUUUAGAAUAGUCAAUGAAAACCUCACCAACCCUGACUCCCAGUCUCCAGAAUACAGAGCAGCAGUAGAAAGCAUCACCAACAAGAUGAAUCACUUGUACCGUCAGAGCGACCUGAGGGAGCAGUUCCUGACCUGCAGGAUCACCGGGCUGAGGUCUGGCGUAAAAUCUGAUUUUUGUUUAAAGAUUGCUUCACCCUGGCACUGCUCC
This 441-nucleotide long non-coding RNA is filed under the name Junco hyemalis (dark-eyed junco). Its description in RNAcentral is "lncRNA (ENSJHYG00000010675.1)". The record is from RNAcentral. Lineage: Eukaryota; Metazoa; Chordata; Aves; Passeriformes; Passerellidae.